AACGAACGCUGGCGGCAUGCCUAACACAUGCAAGUCGAACGAGACCUUCGGGUCUAGUGGCGCACGGGUGCGUAACGCGUGGGAACCUGCCCUUAGGUUCGGAAUAACUCCCCGAAAGGGGUGCUAAUACCGGAUAAUGUCUUCGGACCAAAGAUUUAUCGCCUUUGGAUGGGCCCGCGUUGGAUUAGCUAGUUGGUAGGGUAAAAGCCUACCAAGGCGACGAUCCAUAGCUGGUCUGAGAGGAUGAUCAGCCGCACUGGGACUGAGACACGGCCCAGACUCCUACGGGAGGCAGCAGUGGGGAAUAUUGGACAAUGGGCGAAAGCCUGAUCCAGCAAUGCCGCGUGAGUGAUGAAGGCCUUAGGGUUGUAAAGCUCUUUUACCCGGGAUGAUAAUGACAGUACCGGGAGAAUAAGCUCCGGCUAGCUCCGUG
This 433-nucleotide ribosomal RNA is filed under the name uncultured bacterium. Its description in RNAcentral is "partial 16S ribosomal RNA". It matches the Rfam family "Bacterial small subunit ribosomal RNA", at positions 29 to 507 of the family's 1533-position model. The record is from RNAcentral.